RNAcentral lists this long non-coding RNA (1309 nucleotides) under Phasianus colchicus (ring-necked pheasant). RNAcentral describes it as "lncRNA (ENSPCLG00000012943.1)". The record is from RNAcentral. Lineage: Eukaryota; Metazoa; Chordata; Aves; Galliformes; Phasianidae.
AGUUAAUAAAAUUACUCUCGUUCCUAGUGUGCUAAAAAUUAUUUUGUACUGAAUGUUAGCGAGUGGUUAAUGAAAGGCUGGGGGCAGGAAGAUUGUGGUUUGGGUUUUUGUUAACAUUUUUGAAGUGAAGAAUGCUCCUCAACCCAUCCUUCCUUCCUUUGUUUCUGCCUUUCUUUCUUUCCUCCUUCCUUCCAUCCUUUCUUCUUUCUUUCUUUUAUCUUUCUUUCUUUGUUUUUCUUCCUUCCCUCCUUCCCUCCUUCUCUCCUUCCCUCCUUCCUUCUUUCCUUUCUCUCUUCCUCUCUUUCUCUAUUUAUUUAUUUUAAUUUAGUUAGCUUAAUGCUUCCUCAUAUGUUACUGAGGGGACAGAGAGGAGAUGAGAAAUAAUGCCAGCAGGGAAUGAGCAGAAAUUAUAGAUGAGAAACUACCUAACAGAUAGGUUCUUUCUCUAGCCUAUACUCUAGUUUGGAAACUAAGUGAUUGCAUGUUCUUUUCACCCCAAGGAAGAAAAUCGCACUUGUUCUUGAUACCUAAUAAUGAUACUAUGUGAUAUGCACAGUCUGAAAUCAAGCAGAGAAAAAAGAUAGGUUUCUUUCAUCCCAACAGGACUGAUGGGGUUUAUGUGCAUUUCCGAAGCAUCUUUUAGAAUGGAUUCAAAUCCUGGAAUGGUUUUGGAAAGAAGAAUCUAUAGAGUAAGAUGUUUCCACACUCUCAGCCAGUGCUGUUGUUGAGAUCUAACUGGUGCUGUUCUUGUUCAAGGCAAGAAGAAAGAAGGAAAGAAGGAGAGGAAGAAGUGCGCUUGAGCUCUGCCAACAGUGUCAGAGUGAGAUUUGUCUCUGCUGGAGACCAGUGGAAUCUCCUGUGGCUGGAAAAGAACUUCUGGGACUACUCCUCUGGCCAGAGGUGAACAAAACAAGCUGGAGUUUUCUGUCAAGUGAAAUGUCAUAAUUACCACUGCUACCACUCUUUGGCAAAUUGGCAACUAAGCCAGUUGGCAAUUUACAGAUCAGUGCUUUUACCUAAUCACAGAAUAACAGAAUGGCUGGGUUGGAAGGGACCUCAAGGAUCACGAAUCUCCAACCCCUUGCCACACACAGGGCCACCAACCUCCACAUUUAAUACCAGCCCAGGUGCCCAGGGCUCCAUCCAACUUGGCCUCUCUCUGUAAAGAACUUCCCCCUGACAUCCAACAUAAAUCUCCCCUCCCUCAAUUUAAAACCAUUUCCCCUUGUCCUGCAGUUAUCAACCCUUUCAAAGAGUUGCCUUUACACAUUUAUAUCUAUUUUAAAAUAAAGAGUUCAUUGUUUAUACA